RNAcentral lists this ribosomal RNA (794 nucleotides) under Bacillus subtilis. RNAcentral's name for it is "bacterial SSU rRNA". It matches the Rfam family "Bacterial small subunit ribosomal RNA", at positions 553 to 1347 of the family's 1533-position model. The record is from RNAcentral. Lineage: Bacteria; Bacillati; Bacillota; Bacilli; Caryophanales; Bacillaceae.
AUUGGGCGUAGAGGGCUCGCAGGCGGUUUCUUAAGUCUGAUGUGAAAGCCCCCGGCUCAACCGGGGAGGGUCAUUGGAAACUGGGGAACUUGAGUGCAGAAGAGGAGAGUGGAAUUCCACGUGUAGCGGUGAAAUGCGUAGAGAUGUGGAGGAACACCAGUGGCGAAGGCGACUCUCUGGUCUGUAACUGACGCUGAGGAGCGAAAGCGUGGGGAGCGAACAGGAUUAGAUACCCUGGUAGUCCACGCCGUAAACGAUGAGUGCUAAGUGUUAGGGGGUUUCCGCCCCUUAGUGCUGCAGCUAACGCAUUAAGCACUCCGCCUGGGGAGUACGGUCGCAAGACUGAAACUCAAAGGAAUUGACGGGGGCCCGCACAAGCGGUGGAGCAUGUGGUUUAAUUCGAAGCAACGCGAAGAACCUUACCAGGUCUUGACAUCCUCUGACGAUCCUAGAGAUAGGACGUCCCCUUCGGGGGCAGAGUGACAGGUGGUGCAUGGUUGUCGUCAGCUCGUGUCGUGAGAUGUUGGGUUAAGUCCCGCAACGAGCGCAACCCUUGAUCUUAGUUGCCAGCAUUCAGUUGGGCACUCUAAGGUGACUGCCGGUGACAAACCGGAGGAAGGUGGGGAUGACGUCAAAUCAUCAUGCCCCUUAUGACCUGGGCUACACACGUGCUACAAUGGACAGAACAAAGGGCAGCGAAACCGCGGAGUUAAGCCAAUCCCACAAAUCUGUUCUCAGUUCGGAUCGCAGUCUGCAACUCGACUGCGUGAAGCUGGAAUCGCUAGUAAUCGCGG